RNAcentral lists this long non-coding RNA (919 nucleotides) under Mustela putorius furo (domestic ferret). RNAcentral's name for it is "lncRNA (ENSMPUG00000030838.1)". Lineage: Eukaryota; Metazoa; Chordata; Mammalia; Carnivora; Mustelidae. The record is from RNAcentral.
GUCCAGUUUUGGCAUCAUCACGGAGCAUUAAUCAGCCAGUGGAAAACAGAGAGAAGCAGGAUUUAUCUGUCAGACAAAAUGAGAGGAAAGGAUGCUAACCCUGAAACUGCAGCCAGGUGCAGCUCUACGCAACUGCAGAGUUUCAGAUGGCAUUUGCCCCAAUGGAUGCCAAGUAGACGUGAUAAAGCAGAAAGUGGAUACAGGAGUCUGUCCUUCGGCGUUCUCCUCCCCACACUGCAUGGAGUCCUAGGAAGUCUUUCGAAGAAAGGGUCUACUGAAGGGUAUGCUAAGAAUCCUGGGUGGGAGAAUCAUUGCUGCCCACGGAUUGACCAGCUUUUUGGGGCUUGAACAGUGUUUGCUAAAGAAUAUUGACAGGCUGGAUUGUUGCUGAUUGCACCUGACUCAAAGUUCCCUUUGUUUUGCCUGGAAUAUGUUGCAGUUGUUUUCUGGAAGCGUUUUGUGAUCGGAGUCGGGCAAAAUGCUUAUUUGCAGGUAGGUUUAGUGGAUGAGAGGGAAGAACAAUGAACAUGCAGGCAUUAUGUAUGUGCCAUGAAUUUAAGUCGUUGAUAGACAUCAACUAUGACAAUACUGUGCCACAGAUUUCUUCAUUUUCAGCAGCUGAGGUUCAGAGACAUGAAUUAUACUUGAUUGCACAAUAUCUUCUCACAGAAAUUGUAAGGAGAAUGGCAUGCCCUAACAGGGCUUAUUUACACGGAACACCCUAGUUCACUGUUUCCCCUCUGGCUUUUCUUAAACAAGCAAUUUAUUCUCAACAGUUUUAAAUUUAAAAUCAAUAUUUCUAAUAAAAUAGUUUUACACUUUUCAUCUUUAUGUAUGGACAUGUAUGGGAAGAGAAUCCAAAUGAGUUUAAGCAAUAAAGACAAGGCUAUCAAUAAACACAUUCUAGAGAAGUCCAUGA